AUAGCUGGAACUUUUAUAAAUAGUUUUAUCAGGUAAAGCGAAUGAUUUAGAAGCUCUGGGGAUGAAACAUCCUCGACUUAUUCUCAAACUUUUAAAUAGGUAAGAUGAUUGCAGUACUUGAUUGACUGUCAGUCUCUUGAAUAGUAAGUUCUUAGUGGGCCAUUUUUGGUAAGCAGAACUGGCGAUGUGGGAUGAACCAAACGUUAAGUUAAAGUGCCAGAAUAUACACUCAUAUAGAUACCAUAAAAGGUGUUGGUUGAUAUAGACAGAAGGACGGUGGCCAUGGAAGUUGGAACCCGCUAAGGAGUGUGUAACAACUCACCUUCCGAAUCAACUAGCCCUGAAAAUGGAUGGCGCUUAAGUGUAUUACUUAUACUUAACCUUUAAAUGAAAUUAACAUUUAUCAUUUAAAGAGUAGGAGGGCGUGGAGUUUAUUUAGAAGUCUUUGAGUGUAAACUUGGAUGAAAUAAACUCUAGUGCAGAUCUUGGUUGUAGUAGCAAAUAUUCAAGUGAGAUCCUUGAAGACCG
Molecule: ribosomal RNA, 528 nt
Filed under: uncultured eukaryote
Lineage: Eukaryota
Description: eukaryotic LSU rRNA
Rfam family: Eukaryotic large subunit ribosomal RNA
Source: RNAcentral